CCAAUGGCGUAUAUUAAAGUUGUUGCAGUUAAAAAGCUCGUAGUUGAAUUUCGGGAUCAAUAUAUCGGUCGUGCCAUCGGUACGUACUGGUAUCAUUGGUUUCUCCUUUCUGACGAACCAUGAUGUCAUUAAUUUGGUGUUAUGGGAAGUUAGGACUGUUACUUUGAAAAAAUUAGAGUGUUUAAAGCAGGCUUUAGCUUGAAUACAUUAGCAUGGAAUAAUGAAAUAGGACGUUUGAUUCUAUUUUGUUGGUUUCUAGGAUCGACGUAAUGAUUAAUA
RNAcentral lists this ribosomal RNA (279 nucleotides) under uncultured Glomus. RNAcentral's name for it is "partial 18S small subunit ribosomal RNA". It matches the Rfam family "Eukaryotic small subunit ribosomal RNA", at positions 591 to 874 of the family's 1831-position model. Lineage: Eukaryota; Fungi; Glomeromycota; Glomeromycetes; Glomerales; Glomeraceae. The record is from RNAcentral.